UACGGGGGGGGCAAGCGUUGUUCGGAAUUACUGGGCGUAAAGGGCUCGUAGGCGGCCAACUAAGUCAGACGUGAAAUCCCUCGGCUUAACCGGGGAACUGCGUCUGAUACUGGAUGGCUUGAGUGUGGGAGAGGGAUGCGGAAUUCCAGGUGUAGCGGUGAAAUGCGUAGAUAUCUGGAGGAACACCGGUGGCGAAGGCGGCAUCCUGGACCAUGACUGACGCUGAGUGAGCGAAAGCCAGGGGAGCAAACGGG
RNAcentral lists this ribosomal RNA (254 nucleotides) under uncultured bacterium. RNAcentral's name for it is "partial 16S ribosomal RNA". It matches the Rfam family "Bacterial small subunit ribosomal RNA", at positions 524 to 776 of the family's 1533-position model. The record is from RNAcentral.